This 492-nucleotide ribosomal RNA is filed under the name uncultured bacterium. RNAcentral's name for it is "partial 16S ribosomal RNA". It matches the Rfam family "Bacterial small subunit ribosomal RNA", at positions 29 to 507 of the family's 1533-position model. The record is from RNAcentral.
AGUGAACGCUGGCGGUAGGCCUAACACAUGCAAGUCGAACGGCAGCACAGUAAGAGCUUGCUCUUACGGGUGGCGAGUGGCGGACGGGUGAGGAAUACAUCGGAAUCUACUUUUUCGUGGGGGAUAACGUAGGGAAACUUACGCUAAUACCGCAUACGACCUACGGGUGAAAGCAGGGGAUCUUCGGACCUUGCGCGAUUGAAUGAGCCGAUGUCGGAUUAGCUAGUUGGCGGGGUAAAGGCCCACCAAGGCGACGAUCCGUAGCUGGUCUGAGAGGAUGAUCAGACACAAUGGAACUGAGACACGGUCCAGACUCCUACGGGAGGCAACAGAGGGGAAUAUUGGACAAUGGGCGGAAGCCUGAUCCAGCCAUACCGCGUGGGUGAAGAAGGCCUUCGGGUUGUAAAGCCCUUUUGUUGGGAAAGAAAAGCAGCAGGUUAAUACGCCGCUGUUCUGGCGGUACCCAAAGAAUAAGCACCGGCUAACUUCGUG